Molecule: long non-coding RNA, 2245 nt
Organism: Bombus terrestris (buff-tailed bumblebee)
Lineage: Eukaryota; Metazoa; Arthropoda; Insecta; Hymenoptera; Apidae
Exons: 3
Source: RefSeq, a predicted model, not a curated record
UGCUUAAAGAGAUAAUUAAUUAGUAGGUAGGGCUUACAGCGAGCAUUCUUGGCAAUCCACUUUCAAUUAGCCGUCCCUCUCGAAGAGAACCGCCAAGUGCAUAGCCAGUGUUACGCUGUGUUGGUCCCUGGUUAAAGGCACACGGAUCAGUGAUCUUGGUGCUUGGCCUUCCGUUGACGGAAGGGAUCGCUUUUGACAUGUCGAGGAUCCCAGCGUUGCAGUGGUCCUCCGGGCUAUUCCGGACUUCACCACCGAGUACCGUCGUUAAUCGAUGUUCUGCAAACAGUGGUUCUAUGCCAGCGCUCCUCCAACCCGUCCAAGUGCGUUUAAGCUCGUUUAGUCAAUUAGUAAUCGUCGAGCAAUCCGAUUGAGUCGAGGGAUACUCGAAAACCGGCCUUCAAGCUCCUUUCACACCGCCCGCGGCCGCGGCCGCGCCUCUUUAAAUACUUCAAAAAAGCUUUUCCUCCGCUGCGAAGUUUGAUCUAAUGACGCAAUUCAUGCGAAAGGUGUAAGAACCCAAGAUGUUGUCAUGAUGGCCGAUGCAUUCGCGGCAAAACAAAGUAUUCGGACACGACGCAAGUGAGUCGUCAAGCAGCUGAUCCGUGAAACAAUGGCGAACUUGAGAUAUCCGAUAAAUUUUGAAUCGUAACUGGAAUAUUGGAAUUGUUGAAGAAGUUGUUUUUCCAAGAAACUCUGUAUCGUAGUUGAAAUGUUCAUUCUGUCUGAAAUGUUCAUUUGUUGCAUUCAUUGAAUAUGAUAUAGUCUUAUUGUUAUUGAUCUUUACGAAACAUAGUUGAAAGAUUUGCAAGAACAAUUAUCCCAUAAAGGCAAUAAUAAAAUGCCGAUUUUGACGAACCCUUGCAAAUUCACAGUGCAGCCAAAAAUGUCCGAAUCAUAUCUUUCUGUAUGGCAAUCAUCCACAUUUAGGGAGUAAACGCAGGCCUUAAAGGUGGAAUUGAAAAUACAUGUUUUCGGAUACAUCCUAGAAAACUAUCAGAAAUAGAGGAAUUGUGUCAAUGGACGAAUUUUGUGCUUUGAACGGCGAACAUGCUUGUGUAAACAGAUUUUUAAAAAUUAACAAAUCAUUGCAAUGUUAAUGGAAUUUCAAAAUGUUUCACAUUCAUACGAGCAAACAUAAGGCGAUUACUUAUGAAAAAAUGAGAAGAAAAAAUGGAGUCAAAUUUUUUCACACGAUGUUUCGUUCUAGAGAAAAUCAAAUUCGAAACUCUAUCGAGUAUAUUUGAACAUGAUUGAUUUCAGACUGACCAGGAGUAAAUAGUAAAUAGGAGGUUCUUCUAUAGGAGCUUCGUGCGAAAAUAAGUUAAAAAUAUAAAAUACAAUUUUUUUACAAGAUAUUUCUGAGAAAAAUAAAUAAAAAGAUUUAUCAUACAUCUGUACCAGGCUAAUUCUUAACUAAAUAUGUUCAAACUAAAUAUUUUUUUGGACAUGAAGUAUAAACUUUAAAUGGAAAAAUUUUACUCCACAUUGUGAUUUAUUUUCAUAUGCAGAAUAACUUUCUGCUGAUUGUUUACUCAUAUCCAGUUGGUAAUUAGCAAAAUUCAAUGACAAAUCCGUUAACUAGAUUGUCUCGAAAAUUAAGUCUCCGACGAAAAAUAGUUUUCCUAUGCUUUUCUCAUUUUCCUGUAAGAAGUUACCUCAUGCCCUUUUGUACAUGUUAUUCGGGCAGACCUUGUAUUUUCAUGAAAUAUCUGUAUAAAUGUUGAAAUUUUUUUCACUGUACGUCUAUGGAACUCUUAUUUCAGCGUAGAGAAACCGUAGACGGUUUAAUCGACGGAAAAGCGGCAGGUUUCAAAAUGGCGCCGCCAUCCCACAGACGAUCAGAGAUUGAAUGGGGGGCCGUGGAAAGGUAAAGGCGUCAGGAUAAGUUGUGGCUGUAACCGGAAAAUAAAUUUUCUCUCGGUAAAGCUUGCUGACGCGAGACCAGACACGUUCGCUUGUCGUUGAAUCUGCACGCUUUUCUCACGUACAACCCUAUAAAACUUCGUACACCGAUUCACGCCAAUACACGCUUGCCACUUUGGUCCCUUUUUUUCAAACGGUGUCUGUAUUUCAAGAUGGAUUGGGUAAUCGUUUGCUCUAAAUCAAAAUUAAAUACAGAAGAAGCACAAUUACAUUUUGGAAUAUGUAAUUGUAAUUAUUAUACAUUCUAGUCACAGUAUGGUACGUAUAUGUGGAUAUCUUUUAAAUCCUUUAAAAUUUUUAAAUAAUGAUUGAAUUUGGUGAA